Molecule: ribosomal RNA, 536 nt
Filed under: uncultured bacterium
Lineage: Bacteria
Description: bacterial SSU rRNA
Rfam family: Bacterial small subunit ribosomal RNA
Source: RNAcentral
AAUAGAUACCCUGGUAGUCCACGCCCUAAACGAUGUCAACUAGCUGUUGGGGGGCUUCGGCCCUUAGUAGCGCAGCUAACGCGUGAAGUUGACCGCCUGGGGAGUACGGUCGCAAGAUUAAAACUCAAAGGAAUUGACGGGGACCCGCACAAGCGGUGGAUGAUGUGGAUUAAUUCGAUGCAACGCGAAAAACCUUACCUACCCUUGACAUGUCUGGAAGGCCGAAGAGAUUUGGCUGUGCUCGCAAGAGAACCGGAACACAGGUGCUGCAUGGCUGUCGUCAGCUCGUGUCGUGAGAUGUUGGGUUAAGUCCCGCAACGAGCGCAACCCUUGUCAUUAGUUGCUACGAAAGGGCACUCUAAUGAGACUGCCGGUGACAAACCGGAGGAAGUGGGGAUGACGUCAAGUCCUCAUGGCCCUUAUGGGUAGGGCUUCACACGUCAUACAAUGGUCGGGACAGAGGGUCGCCAACCCGGCAAGGGGGGAGCCCAAUCCCGAGAAACCCGAUCGUAGUCCGGAUUGCAGGCUGCAACUCG